AGUUGGGCUGGGCCUAAGGCUAGGUUCAGGCCACCCCUCCCCAAGGGCACUGGCUGCUUCACUGCCAAUCCUUCCAGGGAAGGCUGGCCUGGGUUCAAGAGGACCAUGUCCAAGUGGGAGGAGCCCUGGUGGGAAGCCUCCCUACCCUCCCACAGAAAGCAGCAGAAGAACAAGAAGAAAAUCACUAGUGUUUCCUGGGGACUCACAUCUAAGCUCUAGGUGAGAAAGAGGCCCAUACCCCUCGGCCUGCAGCCCACCCUCUCCUCCCCUGAAAGGACGGAUGAACAGCUGGCCACCCCAAGUCUUCCAGCCCCUUCGACGAUAUCACCCCACCCCAAGGAAACCACUUUCACCACGGGAAGUCAGACAUGGAAACUGCCUUGCAGCAAGAAGCUACAGCAAUGAGGUGGCCUCUCCAGGCCCGGAGCUCUCCCCCCACCCCCCCACCGGCUGUAUUUAGCCAUCCUGUUAGGCCUCCAAGAGGCGAUAAGUCCCUGGCCACACCAGCUGAGAUAGCUUAGCAAACUCCACAGCUGCCAGCCUCCCCACCAGCCCAGUCCAGGCCAGGCCAAGCCAGUCCAGUGGUUCAGAGGAGGAGGCCCAUGCUGGGUUGUGCUCAGGAGGAAAAUUCCAACUGCCUAUUUGGGGGACUCUUGGGCUGAAUGGAAAGGGGGAGGUGGGGACAGGAAUACAGUCUGCCCUGAAACUGGCGGACUACCUGGAUGGGACAGCCGGAAGAGACCCCUGGGGGCAGGAGCCCCCAAGGAUGCCCAGGUCCCUGUCCAGCUAUGUAAAAAACGAAGAGCCCCAACAAGCUCUGGGUAGAUAGCUGAGUGUCUGGAAUGUAAACAUUUCCCAGGAAAAGAAGGGCAGGGGAUGGAUCAGCUACGUGAGACAAGCUCCCUGGGGCCCUGCUAGGCCUCCACUAGCCCCAGGUUACUGGCUCUGCAGGAAGUCAGCUGCCGAGCCUGGGAGAAGGUUCCCUAGACAAGUAGCAUUUUCCCAUCAUCACCUGCAGCAGCAGUUCAGGGUAAAAGCCUGGAAUUUGGAAUCUAGAGGACUCUUAGGAACAUAUCCUCAGAGGCUUGGUGGCCAGUAGCAGGCCCCACACCUUGUGCUGCCAGAACAGCAGCCACAAGACAAAGUAUGCAGUGGAGCUAUUCCCACAGAUGAACUGUUUUCCACAUUUUCCCUCACUUCAAUGAAUUUUCAUUUCAGAAGGGAUGUUCUGUUCAGCUACUGGACAACUUCCAAGUAUGUCUGGAACAACCUGAGUUCCAAAAGAAGAGGGGCUGGACUCAGGCAGACUAACUUCAAAUGCCCCCUUUUUGACUAUAAAUCUUCUGAACUCUAAAUACAGAGUCACAUAUUUCCAAAGAAAAUUUAUGUCAGGGGGCCGGGGAUUUAGCUCAGUGGUUCCGCCACUUGCCU
Molecule: long non-coding RNA, 1431 nt
Organism: Heterocephalus glaber (naked mole-rat)
Lineage: Eukaryota; Metazoa; Chordata; Mammalia; Rodentia; Bathyergidae
Source: RefSeq, a predicted model, not a curated record